CACCGGCGCCCCGAGUGGCAAUCGCGAUUAUUGGGCCUAAAGCGUCCGUAGCCGGGCAGGUAAAUCCUCUGUGAAAUCGUUGCGCUUAACGUAACGGCGCGCAGGGGACACUGCUUGUCUCGAGACCGGGAGGAGUCAGAGGUAUGCCGUGGGGACUGGUAAAAUGGUAUAAUCCACGGUAGACCACCAAUGGCGAAGGCAUCUGACCAGAACGGAUCUGAUGGUGAGGGACGAAAGCCAGGGGAGCGAACCGG
Molecule: ribosomal RNA, 254 nt
Filed under: uncultured bacterium
Lineage: Bacteria
Description: partial 16S ribosomal RNA
Rfam family: Archaeal small subunit ribosomal RNA
Source: RNAcentral